Molecule: ribosomal RNA, 164 nt
Filed under: Corymbium enerve
Lineage: Eukaryota; Viridiplantae; Streptophyta; Magnoliopsida; Asterales; Asteraceae
Description: 5.8S ribosomal RNA
Rfam family: 5.8S ribosomal RNA
About the family: 5.8S ribosomal RNA (5.8S rRNA) is a component of the large subunit of the eukaryotic ribosome. It is transcribed by RNA polymerase I as part of the 45S precursor that also contains 18S and 28S rRNA. Functionally, it is thought that 5.8S rRNA may be involved in ribosome translocation.
Source: RNAcentral
UAAACGGCUCUCGGCAACGGAUAUCUCGGCUCACGCAUCGAUGAAGAACGUAGCAAAAUGCGAUACUUGGUGUGAAUUGCAGAAUCCCGUGAACCAUCGAGUUUUUGAACGCAAGUUGCGCCCGAAGCCAUCCGGCCGAGGGCACGUCUGCCUGGGCGUCACGC